GACGAACGCUGGCGGCGUGCUUAACACAUGCAAGUCGAACGGAAAGGCCCUGCUUUUGCGGGGUGCUCGAGUGGCGAACGGGUGAGUAAAACGUGAGUAAACUGCCCUUGACUUUGGGAUAACUUCAGGAAACUGGGGCUAAUACCGGAUAGGAGCUACUGCUGCAUGGGGGGGGUUGGAAAGUUUCGGCGGUUGGGGAUGGACUCGCGGCUUAUCAGCUUGUUGGUGGGGUAGUGGCUUACCAAGGCUUUGACGGGUAGCCGGCCUGAGAGGGUGACCGGCCACAUUGGGACUGAGAUACGGCCCAGACUCCUACGGGACGCAGCAGUGGGGAAUAUUGCACAAUGGGCGGAAGCCUGAUGCAGCAACGCCGCGUGCGGGAUGACGGCCUUCGGGUUGUAAACCGCCUUCGCCUGUGACGAGGCGUGAGUGACGGUAAUGGGUAAAGAAGCCCCGGCUAACUACGUG
Molecule: ribosomal RNA, 468 nt
Filed under: uncultured bacterium
Lineage: Bacteria
Description: partial 16S ribosomal RNA
Rfam family: Bacterial small subunit ribosomal RNA
Source: RNAcentral